RNAcentral lists this ribosomal RNA (492 nucleotides) under uncultured bacterium. RNAcentral describes it as "partial 16S ribosomal RNA". It matches the Rfam family "Bacterial small subunit ribosomal RNA", at positions 30 to 507 of the family's 1533-position model. The record is from RNAcentral.
AGUGAACGCUGGCGGUAGGCCUAACACAUGCAAGUCGAACGGCAGCACAGUAAGAGCUUGCUCUUACGGGUGGCGAGUGGCGGACGGGUGAGGAAUACAUCGGAAUCUACUUUUUCGUGGGGGAUAACGUAGGGAAACUUACGCUAAUACCGCAUACGACCUACGGGUGAAAGCAGGGGAUCUUCGGACCUUGCGCGAUUGAAUGAGCCGAUGUCGGAUUAGCUAGUUGGCGGGGUAAAGGCCCACCAAGGCGACGAUCCGUAGCUGGUCUGAGAAGAUCGUGAGGGGGAGGGGAAGGGAGAGAGGGGGGAGGGGGGGAGGGGAGGCAGCGGUGGGGAAUAGGGGACAAGGGGCGGAAGGGGGAGCCAGCGAGAGCGCGUGGGGGAAGAAGGCGGGGGGGUUGUAAAGCCCGUUUGUGGGGAAAGAAAAGCAGCAGGUUAAGACCCCGCUGUUCUGACGGUACCCAAAGAAUAAGCACCGGCUAACUUCGUG